Molecule: non-coding RNA, 108 nt
Organism: Gossypium hirsutum (cotton)
Lineage: Eukaryota; Viridiplantae; Streptophyta; Magnoliopsida; Malvales; Malvaceae
Source: Rfam
GUGUUCCCUGGAGUUCCCCUGAACACUUCACCGGGUGGGGCUAUUUUAAGACUCUUAGCCGAGGAAACUUUAUCUUACUGAAGCGUUUGGGGGAACUCUAGGUGAUGU